Molecule: long non-coding RNA, 1381 nt
Organism: Pyrus x bretschneideri (Chinese white pear)
Lineage: Eukaryota; Viridiplantae; Streptophyta; Magnoliopsida; Rosales; Rosaceae
Exons: 6
Source: RefSeq, a predicted model, not a curated record
UUGCCCCUAUUGGCUAUGCGUCUAUCAUCACUGCCUUCACUUCUUCUCCACAUUUUCUUCCGUGUUUCUUUCUCUCACACAACAUUUUGCUCCGUUUCGAACUUGGGUUUCUUCUUGUCUCUGUCAAUUGGUCCUUUACUUUGAUUGCACACUACAUCAAGUUAAAGCUCCCACCAACUGGAGAAAGAUACCAUGCUACAUCUUAUUUGUGUGCCAGUUGUGGUGCUCUCUUGGGGUUUCUGUACGCGCUGGUCAUCUGGAAGGGAAAGAAAAAUCUGGGCAACUGGGGUUUCUCCCUCUCAUUCCACUAUGUCUAAUUCCACUUUCUCUAAAAAAAAAAAAAAAAAAAUCCCAAAAUUGGCUCUUCAGGACUGGAACUGGAAGUAUAAGGGUGAUCUAAUUUUUCUGGCUUGUCAAGAGCAGCAGCAUGAGCCAUAUCUCAUAUAAACAACAAGUGGAAGGUUUACAAGACGUUAACCAAUUAGUUGGGCUAUUAGUUCCUUUACUUUGUGAUGUCCCUGGUGUGAGUAAAAAAAUGCUCAGAUUUUGUCUUUGUAAUCAGAUGGUUGAUAUUGCUGACUGAUUUCAUUCUUCUUCACUUUCAAGAAGCACCGGUGUUUAUUGAAGUUUCGUACAGCCAAAUUGGAAUCAAUCUGAAAGAACUGUGUCUAUUUGCUGUCUUCAAGGUUACAAGAACGAAGCACACCAGCUGUCGCCCACCAACAACGCUUGUCAUCACACCAUACAAAUUCCAAAAUUGAGGAAGACAUGGGCCGCACCGUACUCUACAGACCACCAAAACGAACGCCACUAUGAAACAAAGGAAGUAGGCGAGAAAAAAGUUCCCACAAGUGAAAUGACCAACGAACGCAAACACCAGGGAGAACCAAUAAGGGUCAACAAAAGUGGUGGUGCGAACAUUCAAGCCAAAGCUCUAUGCACCCUCUCAUAUAAAUGCGAAAAAUCACAGAAUAACCAAAUCGAAUUGAGGAUUAGUGGAAUUAUAAUGGAGCCAAUUGAUGGAGAUGGUAGAGGAAACAGGUGACCAGGAUCUAGGACUCAAGUAGUUGGAAUCAGAGGCAAGAAAAGUAGAAAGACGAUGAGAUGUGAAGAUAAGGUCGACAUGGAACCGGGACUAGGAUUAUUGCAGAAAAUAGAACGGGAAAGAAACAGAAGACAAGGAGAAAGCAAGGUACUGGCACCAACCUUGCCCACAUAUAGGGCCGACGGCUACGCUGAAAAACGGAAUCUAAAUUCACUCACACAACGGUGAUAAAAUAACAACUUUCACGUGUGCAUGUUUGGAUACAGGGAUUUUGGUAACUGAAACGCUCGACUUCAAAAUUAAAAUUGACUUGAAUAAAAUACAAAUAAUUGGUUC